CUUGGCUAAGAGAGGUCAGUCACAUAGCAAAAUCUAAGCUCUCCUCUGCUGUAUUCAGGCUAGCUUAAAAAUGCAGAUAUAUUGCCAGCUGACUAGCAAGACAUUCUUCUUUCAACCUUGUUUUAAGAGGCCCCUGGUUUCUUGGAAGUGAGGGAGUGCAGCACUGAGAAGCAACGGGAAGAUGUCCUACACAUGGAGCGAUAGGCAGAUGCAGCUGCUCUAGGAUCCUCUGGUCAUCUGUUUUCAUUAAAACUUCACUUGUGCAUUUGACCUACCAGCUGGAUUCAGCAUAUGUCACUGGUAAAGAGAUUGAACAUUGAAAAUCACGAACAACAUUUACAUGAAACACUAGCUGCCACUAGCUUCACAUUCAUCUGUCAGGUGAUCAAAAUCUCAAUCUGAAUUUUUAGUCUGAACAUUUUUCUUCCUGUGGUCUCUUUACAACAAAAUUGCAUCCUCUUCCUUUCUGCGGCCUUCAGAUCAGUCUUUGCAACUUCUAAGUGACGGAUGAAGGAAAUCCUUAUUGCUUGAAGCAGCUCUACCUAUUUAUAUGAACCUGCCACGUGGUUUCCUAAAAUAUGAACUGACAAGGCCAUUCGUCUCUGAAAUGCUGCUGAAGAUGGUUUCAGAACUGGAGUGAUGAAGCCUGGUCGUAAUAGCUGCUGUCUCUUUCUUGUUGCCUCGUGUGCCAAGGUGUCCCAAAGCACAGCUGUGAAACAAAGUACCGUGGAAUAUUCCUUGAGAAUUCUACCCAGAUGUGAAAAGAAUAAGUGCAUUUUUUAAAAUAGAUUUUAAGUUAAGCUGUUCAGCCUGAAAAUGUCAAAUAUGAAGAAGUGAUACUUUUGCUUAAUGUAAAACUGAAUCACUUCUUUAAUACGUAUAGCAUCUGAGUGAUUUAGUUAAGCUAUAUUAAAUUACAAUUCUGUUCUUGUUUUCUUGAUUAUAUUCAGAAUUACAAACUUCAGAUCUAUUGUUGUUAAAUAGGGAUAUUUUUCACUGUUCAGGUAUGAAUAUUUAAACAGUGCUAAAUUUCGAGGUAUACAGAUGAGCUAAUUUGAAAUUUUAAAUGAAUUAAAAGUUCAAUUUCUGAAAUGAUUUGUAAAGUCUUGCUUGAUUCUUGAGUGCUUCCAGGUGCUUCAAUAAAACCUGGUUCCAAAAAAUCCAGUAUUCUGUUUCUGAAAUUCACUAUUUAACCUCAUUCUUGUUAAUCUAGUACAAACUUUUAUUUCAUUUGACAGUACAGUUUUCAACUUUAUAGAUGAACCAGACAUUAAAACUCACAUAGCUUAUAAUUUACACGGAAAAUGGCAGAAAAAUAAAAGAUCAUUAGGGCUUGCAUUGCUAAAAUCAGAGCCAUCUGACCUCCUUUAACAAUUACUGCAUUUGAUAUUUAAUAACUUUCACAGAUUAACAUUGCUGACAAAUGAUCUGGUUUUCCAGUGGGUAGUUUAGCUCAUUGGAUCCAAAGGUAAAUAAAAGAAAAGGCAAUAAGCUCAUGGCUGUUAACAUGCUUUCAGCCCUUGGCCACCAUUUACCCCACUCCACAGCAUGUAGAAAAAUCUCUGCCCAGCUGUAAUGAGAAGCUCCACCCCAUAUUAUUCUUGUUACAUAGGUACAGGUACUUAUAGCAGAAGUGCAGAAUUCACAUUCUUUGUACAUUCUGUGAGAGAGAAAAAGCAAAUGGUCAAUCAAAUUAGUCUUUUCUCAGCAUCUCUGCCCAGUACAUUGCCCUUUAGAGCAGCGGAUUUAGUAUCAGUUGGUCUCUGCCUGGGGUACAUGACGGUUUACCUCAAAUUCAGGACUUGUCACUUCAAUAACAAUCUUUAAUUUUGGAUAUGUUUACUUUUUUUCUGUUUUCUUGUCUACUAUUCUAUUGUUUUGAAAUUCUUUUAUUGCUAAAUGCUGGAGAAAGCUCAUUUCAAACAUUCUGUUACACCAUUUUCUUUGUGUGUACCACAUACAACAGAGUUUUUCUUUCAAGUGCUGUAUUUCAUUUAAAACUGAUUGCACAAUUUUAG
Molecule: long non-coding RNA, 2018 nt
Organism: Gallus gallus (chicken)
Lineage: Eukaryota; Metazoa; Chordata; Aves; Galliformes; Phasianidae
Source: Ensembl